RNAcentral lists this ribosomal RNA (1445 nucleotides) under Rhinella trifolium. Its description in RNAcentral is "partial 16S ribosomal RNA". It matches the Rfam family "Bacterial large subunit ribosomal RNA", at positions 23 to 2610 of the family's 2925-position model. Lineage: Eukaryota; Metazoa; Chordata; Amphibia; Anura; Bufonidae. The record is from RNAcentral.
GCUGAAAACCUAGCCCAACUAAACAUGAAUUAUACUAAGUCAAUUUAUUCCUUUUAAUAAACCAUUUUAACAUUCUAGUAAAGGAGAUUGAAAAAUUUAUUGGAGCUAUAAUAAUAGUACCGCAAGGGAAUAGUGAAAUAUAAAAUGAAAAAUUUUUAAGCAAAAAAAAGUAAAGACUACCUCUUGUACCUUUUGCAUCAUGGUUUAACUAGUCUAAUCAAGCAAAACGUAUUUAAGUUUGACUUCCCGAAACUAAGUGAGCUACUUCAGGGCAGCCAAAAGAGCGAACCCGUCUCUGUAGCAAAAGAGUGGGAUGACCCUCAAGUAGCGGUGAUAGACCUAACGAACUUAGUGAUAGCUGGUUACUCAAGAAACGGAUCUAAGUCCAACCUGAAGUUCACUAUUUUAGUUCACCAAAAUAACCUUUUGACCUUCAGCGUAAUUCAAAUAAGGUACAGCCUAUUUGAAACAGGGUACAACCUAGACAAAUGGAUAAGACUGACUCAACAUACAACUAAGUGGGCCUAAAAGCAGCCAUCUUUAAAAUAGCGUCAAAGCUUAAUUGUUAUUAUGCCUAAUCACCCAACCACCAUCUUAAUCCUCUAAUAAUACUGAGUAAUUCUAUAUUUCUAUAGAAAAUUUUAUGUUAAAACUAGUAACAAGAAGAAGAUUCUUCUCUCUAAUGUAAGUGUAAAUCAAAAAGGACAAACCACUGAUAAUUAACGUCAUUGAAACUAAAGUAGAAACUCAUCAAGAAAACUCUACUUUUAUUAACGUUAACCUAACACAAGAACAUUAUAAGAAAGAUUAAAAGAAAAAGAAGGAACUCGGCAAAUAUUAACCUCGCCUGUUUACCAAAAACAUCGCCUCUUGACUAAUAAUAAGAGGUCCAGCCUGCCCAGUGACCCUGUUCAACGGCCGCGGUAUCCUAACCGUGCGAAGGUAGCGUAAUCACUUGUUCUUUAAAUGCGGACUAGUAUGAAUGGCAUCACGAAGGUUAUACUGUCUCCUUUUUCUAAUCAGUGAAACUAAUCUCCCCGUGAAGAAGCGGGGAUAAAAAUAUAAGACGAGAAGACCCUAUGGAGCUUUAGACAACACAGCAUUUACCUAAAAAAACUAAUAUUUCUGAAUUCUAUAACUUCUAUAGAUAAUAUGACUGUAAGUUUUUGGUUGGGGUGACCGCGGAGCAUAACAUAACCUCCAUGUUGAAAGAAUUAUUUUUUAAGCUAAGAAUUACCCAUCUAAGCAUCAAUAAAUUGACAUCUAUUGACCCAAUAUAUUUGACCAACGAACCAAGUUACCCUAGGGAUAACAGCGCAAUCCACUUCAAGAGCUCCUAUCGACAAGUGGGUUUACGACCUCGAUGUUGGAUCAGGGUAUCCCAGUGGUGCAGCCGCUACUAAAGGUUCGUUUGUUCAACGAUUAAAACCCUACGUGAUCUGAGU